RNAcentral lists this ribosomal RNA (400 nucleotides) under phytoplankton environmental sample. RNAcentral describes it as "partial small subunit ribosomal RNA". It matches the Rfam family "Eukaryotic small subunit ribosomal RNA", at positions 587 to 991 of the family's 1831-position model. The record is from RNAcentral.
AGCUCCAAUAGCGUAUAUUAAAGUUGUUGCAGUUAAAAAGCUCGUAGUUGGAUUUGUGGCUGUCCCGAGCGGCCUAACACUUAGUGUUAGUGUCAGCUUGGGUCGCCAUCCUUGGGUGGAACCUAUGUGGCAUUAGGUUGUCGUGUAGGGGAUGCCCAUCGUUUACUGUGAAAAAAUUAGAGUGUUCAAAGCAGGCUUAUGCCGUUGAAUAUAUUAGCAUGGAAUAAUAAGAUAGGACCUUGGUACUAUUUUGUUGGUUUGCGCACCAAGGUAAUGAUUAAUAGGGACAGUUGGGGGUAUUCGUAUUCCAUUGUCAGAGGUGAAAUUCUUGGAUUUUUGGAAGACGAACUACUGCGAAAGCAUUUACCAAGGAUGUUUUCAUUAAUCAAGAACGAAAGUA